ACUGUCACUUCUAAAUUAUUGCAAAUAUGAUAAUAGGUAAAAAAUAAAUAAGAUAAAAUUACACACAAUUCUCUUCUAAGUAAUAAAAUAUCAGAUUGAAAAAAUUAGCAUGCCUAAAGGCAUUAUCUUAGAAGCAAUAUCGCCCCCACGUGCGAGGCUACCGGUGGCCUCUCUGAGAGAUACAAUGAGGUAGUGGAUGACUACUCGUUCCUCCUCAUCAACAUAGCUCCAAGGAAGCUAGAUAUGACCGUAAAAGCUUUUACAGCCCAGCAACAUAGGGGAGC
RNAcentral lists this long non-coding RNA (284 nucleotides) under Elaeis guineensis (African oil palm). RNAcentral's name for it is "long non-coding RNA (EGUI_LNC076809)". Lineage: Eukaryota; Viridiplantae; Streptophyta; Magnoliopsida; Arecales; Arecaceae. The record is from RNAcentral.